AUGCAGCCGCUUGAUGAGAAGGAUUUGGAAAGGAAGCUGAAGAAAGAGCAGAAGGUGCUUGUUCUAAUAUGGUUCUGUGCUGUUCACGAUGGAGCGAAAUCGAAGGAGGGGAAGAAGCUCAAGGCAAAGCAGAAGGAGGAGGCCAGACUACAGGUCCAAGCAGCAUCCGAUGGAGCCAAGAAGAGUGAGAAGAAGCAAAAGAAGAAAGGUGUCACGGAUGAGAAUCCCGAGGAUCUCGUUGAUCCGGAUACUCCCACUGGACAGAAGAAACUGCUUGCUUCUCAAAUGGCCAAACAAUAUAGCCCGUCCGCUGUCGAGAAAUCAUGGUAUCCUUGGUGGGAGUCAUCACAGUAUUUUGUAGCAGAUGCCGCAAGCUCAAAGCCACCUUUUGUAAUAGUCCUGCCACCCCCAAAUGUGACAGGAGCCCUUCACAUAGGCCAUGCAAUUACAGUGGCAAUUGAGGAUGCUAUGAUCCGCUGGCGGAGGAUGUCAGGCUACAAUGCUUUGUGGAUUCCUGGAAUGGAUCAUGCUGGCAUAGCUACACAGGUCGUUGUGGAAAAGAAGAUCAUGCGUGAGAGGAAGCUGUCAAGGCAUGAUCUAGGGCGUGAUAAAUUUCUAUCUGAGCUCCACAACUGGAAAGAUCAGUAUGGUGGCACCAUACAGAGACAACUGCGUACGCUUGGAGCCUCGCUUGACUGGUCGCGCGAAUGUUUUACAAUGGAUGAGCAGAGAUCAGGAGCUGUAACAGAAACAUUUGUUAGGCUAUACAAGGAAGGUUUGAUAUAUAGGGAUAUUCGUCUCGUGAACUGGGAUUGCACGCUCCGUACAGCAAUUUCUGAUAUCGAGGUUGACCGUGUUGAUCUCAAGGCAGAGACUUUCUUAGAGGUCCCUGGUUAUAGCAACCCAGUUCAGUUUGGUGUUUUGACAUCUUUUGCCUACCCUCUAGAAGAAGGAUUGGGUGAAAUUAUCGUUGCAACAACUAGAAUAGAAACUAUGCUCGGUGAUACCGCUAUAGCUGUUCAUUCUCAGGAUGAAAGAUAUAAGCAUCUGCAUGGAAAAUAUGCCGUGCAUCCGUUUAAUGGCCGAAAACUUGAAAUAAUUUGCGCCGAUGACUUGGUGAAAGCCACUUUUGGUACUGGCGCUGUCAAGAUCACGCCAGCUCAUGAUAGCAAGGACUUCGAGGUUGGGAAACAGCAUAACCUGGACUUCAUCAAUAUUUUCACUGAUGACGGGAACAUAAAUGAAAAUGGAGGUCCACAAUUUGAAGGAAUGCCACGUUUCACCGCUCGAGCUGCUGUUAUUGAUGCACUAAAGGAAAAGGGUCUAUACAGAGGCAUGGAAAAUAAUGAGAUGGAAUUAGGUCGUUGUUCAAGAACUAAUGAUAUCGUCGAGCCAAUGAUCAAGCCCCAAUGGUUUGUUAAUUGUAAUACCAUGGCAAAGGCAGCUCUUGAUGCUGUGAAAUCCAAAGAGAUAGAGAUCAUUCCACCACAAUAUGAGCAAGACUGGUACAGGUGGCUUGAAAACAUACGCGAUUGGUGUAUUUCAAGACAACUUUGGUGGGGACACCGUGUACCUGCCUGA
This 1581-nucleotide ribosomal RNA is filed under the name Triticum aestivum (bread wheat). RNAcentral's name for it is "partial small subunit ribosomal RNA". The record is from RNAcentral. Lineage: Eukaryota; Viridiplantae; Streptophyta; Magnoliopsida; Poales; Poaceae.